Molecule: ribosomal RNA, 872 nt
Filed under: Weissella confusa
Lineage: Bacteria; Bacillati; Bacillota; Bacilli; Lactobacillales; Lactobacillaceae
Description: bacterial SSU rRNA
Rfam family: Bacterial small subunit ribosomal RNA
Source: RNAcentral
CUAAUACAUGCAAGUCGAACGCUUUGUGGUUCAACUGAUUUGAAGAGCUUGCUCAGAUAUGACGAUGGACAUUGCAAAGAGUGGCGAACGGGUGAGUAACACGUGGGAAACCUACCUCUUAGCAGGGGAUAACAUUUGGAAACAGAUGCUAAUACCGUAUAACAAUGACAACCGCAUGGUUGUUAUUUAAAAGAUGGUUCUGCUAUCACUAAGAGAUGGUCCCGCGGUGCAUUAGCUAGUUGGUAAGGUAAUGGCUUACCAAGGCGAUGAUGCAUAGCCGAGUUGAGAGACUGAUCGGCCACAAUGGGACUGAGACACGGCCCAUACUCCUACGGGAGGCAGCAGUAGGGAAUCUUCCACAAUGGGCGAAAGCCUGAUGGAGCAACGCCGCGUGUGUGAUGAAGGGUUUCGGCUCGUAAAACACUGUUGUAAGAGAAGAAUGACAUUGAGAGUAACUGUUCAAUGUGUGACGGUAUCUUACCAGAAAGGAACGGCUAAAUACGUGCCAGCAGCCGCGGUAAUACGUAUGUUCCAAGCGUUAUCCGGAUUUAUUGGGCGUAAAGCGAGCGCAGACGGUUAUUUAAGUCUGAAGUGAAAGCCCUCAGCUCAACUGAGGAAUUGCUUUGGAAACUGGAUGACUUGAGUGCAGUAGAGGAAAGUGGAACUCCAUGUGUAGCGGUGAAAUGCGUAGAUAUAUGGAAGAACACCAGUGGCGAAGGCGGCUUUCUGGACUGUAACUGACGUUGAGGCUCGAAAGUGUGGGUAGCAAACAGGAUUAGAUACCCUGGUAGUCCACACCGUAAACGAUGAGUGCUAGGUGUUUGAGGGUUUCCGCCCUUAAGUGCCGCAGCUAACGCAUUAAGCACUCCGCC